Molecule: ribosomal RNA, 443 nt
Filed under: uncultured bacterium
Lineage: Bacteria
Description: partial 16S ribosomal RNA
Rfam family: Bacterial small subunit ribosomal RNA
Source: RNAcentral
CCUACGGGUGGCAGCAGUGGGGAAUAUUGGGCAAUGGAGGCAACUCUGACCCAGCAACGCCGCGUGAAUGAUGAAGGUCUUCGGAUUGUUAAGUUUCUUUUUAAGGGAAGUAGAAAGUGACGGUACCUCAGGAAUAAGCCUCGGCUAACUACGGGCCUGCAGACGCGGUGAGACGGAGGAGGCAAGCGUUAUCCGGAAUGACUGGUGGUAAAGGGUGCGUAGGUGGGUCAGUAAGUUAGUAGGGUAAUUCCGGGGGUCAACCUCGGCACUGCUACUGAAACUGUUGGACUUGAGUGCAGGAGGGGGAGCUGGAAUUCGUGGUGUAGCGGUGAAAUGCGUAGAUAUCAGGAGGAACACCGAUGGCGAAGGCGGGUUGCUGGACUGUAACUGACACUGAGGCACGAAAGCGUGGGGAGCAAACAGGAUUAGAUACCCGGGUAGUC